GGGGAUGUAGCUCAGUUACAGAGCGCUUGCCUUGGAUGCGAGAGGCACUGGGUUCAAUCCUUAGCACCA
RNAcentral lists this transfer RNA (69 nucleotides) under Ictidomys tridecemlineatus (thirteen-lined ground squirrel). RNAcentral's name for it is "Spermophilus tridecemlineatus (thirteen-lined ground squirrel) tRNA". It matches the Rfam family "tRNA". From Rfam's summary of the family: Transfer RNA (tRNA) molecules are approximately 80 nucleotides in length. Their secondary structure includes four short double-helical elements and three loops (D, anti-codon, and T loops). Lineage: Eukaryota; Metazoa; Chordata; Mammalia; Rodentia; Sciuridae. The record is from Rfam by way of RNAcentral.